ACAUCCUACAGCAACCCUACAGCGAUCCUACAGCGACCUGCAGAGUGAUCCUACAGAGAUCCUACAGCAACCUGCAGCGACCUGCAGCGACCCUGCAGCGAUCCUACAGCGACCCUACAGCGACCUGCAGAGAUCCUACAGCGACCUGCAGCGAUCCUACAGCGAUCCUACAGAGAUCCUAGAGAGAUCCUACAGCGACCCUACAGCGACCCUACAGCGACCUACAGCAACCCUACAGCGAUCCUACAGCGACCCUACAGCGAUCCUACAAUGAUCCUACAGCGACCCUACAGCGAUCCUACAGAGACCCUGCAGCGACCCUGCAGCGACCCUGCAGAGAUCCUGCAGCGACCCUACAGAGUGAUCCUACAGAGAUCCUACAGAGAUCCUACAGCGACCCUACAGCAAUCCCACAGCGACCCUACAGCGACCCUACUGCGACCCUGCAGAGAUCCUACAGCGACCCUACAGAGAUCCUACAGCAAUCCUACAGAGAUCCUACAGCGAUCCUACAGUGAUCCUACAGAGAUCCUACAGAGUGAUCCUACAGAGCGCCGCCACCCUAAGAGCAGCCCUACCAGAGCGACCCUACACAGCGACCUUACAGAGCGUCGCCACCCUACAGUGUGACCCUACCGAGUGAUCCUACAGAGCGACCCUACACAGCGGCCCUACACAGCGCCGCCACCCUACAGAGCAGCCCUACAGAGCGGCCCUACAGAGCGACCCUACAGAGCACCACCAUGACCCUACAGUGACCCUACAGAGCCCUGCCACUGCCACCCUACAGAGCGCCGCCCAUCACUGGGACCCUACAAAGCGCCACCACGACCCUACAGAGCGACCCUACAGAGCGCCCCAUCACCAGGACCCUACAAAGCGCCCUGUCACCACCACCCUACAAAGCGCCACCAGGACCCUACAGAGCGCCCUGUCACUGUGACCCUACAGGGCACCCCAUCUCUGUGACCCUACAGAGCGCCACCAUCACCAGGACCCUACAAAGCGCCACCCAUCACUGGGACCCUACAAAGCACCACCAGGACCCUACAGAGCGACCCUACACAGCGCCCUGUCACCACGACCCUACAGAGCACCUUGUCACUGUGACCCUACAGAGUGCCACCAUCACUGGGACCCUACAAAGUGCCCUGUCACCACAACCCUACAGAGCACCACCAGGACCCUACAGAGCGACCCUACAGAGCGCCCCAUCACCAGGCCCCCCCACUUUUAGGCCCCCCCACUUUCAGGUCCCCCCACUUUCAUCCCCCCCCACUUUCGGCCCCCCCACUUUCAGGUCCCCCCACUUUCAGGCCCCCCCAAUUUUCGGACCCCUCACUUUCAGGCCCCCCCACUUUCAGGCCGCCCAGCGCCAGCCCCCAUCCGUAGGGCCGCUCACCGCUGAAGUUCCCGCUGAUGACGUACGGGAUGACGCCGUCGGGCCACACGCGCUCAGGGCGGGACGUGGCGGCGCGGCGGCGGCGGAGGGGAUUUGUGGGGUGGGCGGCUGUAGGGCCGGCGCUUUGGGGCCGCGGCGGGGACGCGAAGAGCCGCAGGUCCUCCUCGUCCAGGGCGAUGUCACCAAGGAACGCGGCUGUGGGGCGGAGCAACGGGGUGUGGGGCGACAUCCAGCGCUGCGCUGCCCCAUAAGCACGGCCCUAUAG
Long non-coding RNA from Phasianus colchicus (ring-necked pheasant), 1667 nucleotides. Lineage: Eukaryota; Metazoa; Chordata; Aves; Galliformes; Phasianidae. The record is from Ensembl.